Molecule: ribosomal RNA, 914 nt
Filed under: uncultured bacterium
Lineage: Bacteria
Description: bacterial SSU rRNA
Rfam family: Bacterial small subunit ribosomal RNA
Source: RNAcentral
AGAGUUUGAUCCUGGCUCAGAUUGAACGCUGGCGGAAUGCUUUACACAUGCAAGUCGAGCGGCAGCGCGGGGGCAACCCUGGCGGCGAGCGGCGAACGGGUGAGUAAUACAUCGGAACGUACCCUGUCGUGGGGGAUAACUAACCGAAAGGUUGGCUAAUACCGCAUACGACCUGAGGGUGAAAGCGGGGGAUCGCAAGACCUCGCGCGAUAGGAGCGGCCGAUGUCAGAUUAGCUAGUUGGUGAGGUAAAGGCUCACCAAGGCGACGAUCUGUAGCGGGUCUGAGAGGACGGCCCGCCACACUGGAACUGAGACACGGUCCAGACUCCUACGGGAGGCAGCAGUGGGGAAUUUUGGACAAUGGGGGAAACCCUGAUCCAGCCAUUCCGCGUGAGUGAAGAAGGCCUUCGGGUUGUAAAGCUCUUUCGGCAGGAACGAAAAGGCGGGCUCUAACAUAGCCUGUUCAUGACGGUACCUGAAGAAGAAGCACCGGCUAACUACGUGCCAGCAGCCGCGGUAAUACGUAGGGUGCGAGCGUUAAUCGGAAUUACUGGGCGUAAAGCGUGCGCAGGCGGUUUUGUAAGACAGAUGUGAAAUCCCCGGGCUUAACCUGGGAACUGCGUUUGUGACUGCAAGACUUGAGUGCGGCAGAGGGGGGUGGAAUUCCACGUGUAGCAGUGAAAUGCGUAGAGAUGUGGAGGAACACCGAUGGCGAAGGCAGCCCCCUGGGUCGACACUGACGCUCAUGCACGAAAGCGUGGGUAGCAAACAGGAUUAGAUACCCUGGUAGUCCACGCCCUAAACGAUGCGAACUAGGUGUUGGGGAAGGAGACUUUCUUAGUACCGCAGCUAACGCGUGAAGUUCGCCGCCUGGGGAGUACGGUCGCAAGAUUAAAACUUAAAGGAAUUGAUGG